CCUACGGGUGGCUGCAGUGGGGAAUAUUGGGCAAUGGAGGCAACUCUGACCCAGCAACGUAGCGUGAAUGAUGACUGCCCUAUGAGUGUUAAGCUUUUUUUUUAGGGAAGUAGAACGAGACGGUAGUGUAUUUUUAAGUCUCGUUUAUCUACGUGCCAGCAGCCGCGGUAAUACGUAGGAUGCAAGCGUUAUCCGGAUUGACUGGGUGUAAAGGUUGCGUAGGUGGUUUGACAAGUUAGUAGUGAAAUUUCGGGGUUCAACUGCGAAACUACUACUAAUACUGGUAGACUUGAGUACAGGGGAGGCAGUCGGAAUUCGUAGUGUAGCGGUGAAAUGCGUAGAUAUUACGAAGAACACCGAUGGCGAAGGCAGAUUACUAGACUGUAACUGACACUGAGGCACGAAAGCGUGGGGAGCAAACAGGAUUAGAUACCCCUGUAGUC
This 443-nucleotide ribosomal RNA is filed under the name uncultured bacterium. RNAcentral describes it as "partial 16S ribosomal RNA". It matches the Rfam family "Bacterial small subunit ribosomal RNA", at positions 338 to 795 of the family's 1533-position model. The record is from RNAcentral.